RNAcentral lists this non-coding RNA (791 nucleotides) under Diestramima sp. ZJZ-2017. RNAcentral's name for it is "12S ribosomal RNA". The stretch from base 368 to 779 matches the Rfam family "Microsporidia small subunit ribosomal RNA", at positions 752 to 1303 of the family's 1311-position model. The record is from RNAcentral. Lineage: Eukaryota; Metazoa; Arthropoda; Insecta; Orthoptera; Rhaphidophoridae.
AGUUUUAUUCUUGCUUAAAGAUUUAUUAAAAUAAUAUUUUACAUGUAAAUUUUUGUGUUGAAAUUGAUACUAUCUAAAUGGUAUAUUAAUUUUAUUAUGCAGUAUUUAGUAUUAAAUAUUAAGUAAAUUUAGAUUUAGUAAUUAUUGUUUAUAUUGGCUAAAGUCGUGCCAGCAGUCGCGGUUAUACGUGAAAUAUAAAUAAAUUAUAUUAGUUUAAAGUUAAUUGGAAUAUUUAGAAUUUAUUUUUUUAUUAAUUAGGUGAAAUUUUUAUUUAAAUUUAAUUUCUAUAAUUAUUUAUGAAGCUUUGAAAUUUCUUUAUUAAACUAGGAUUAGAUACCCUAUUAUUGGAAAUGUAAAAUUUUUACUUGAGUAGUAAAAGUUAUGAUCUUGAAACUCAAAGAAUUUGGCGGUGUUUUAGUCUUUUCAGAGGAAUCUGUCCCGUUAAUGAUAAUACACGAUUAACUUUACCAUAUUUUGUAUUUUCAGUAUGUAUACCGCCGUCAUCAGUUUAUCUUAGGAGAGUUAGGAAUUUUCUUGAAUUUUAAUUAGAAUUUAUGUCAGGUCAAGGUGCAGCUUAUAUUAUGGUGGAGAUGGAUUACAAUAAAGUUUAUUUAAAUGGAUUAUUAAAUGAAAAAUUAAUAUGAAGGUGGAUUUGGAAGUAAUUUUAUUCAAGUUUGUUGAUUUGAUUUUGGCUCUAAAAUAUGUACAUAUCGCCCGUCGCUCUCAUUUUUAAAUUGAGAUAAGUCGUAACAGAGUAGAUUUACUGGAAAGUGAAUCUAGAAAGAAUUAUA